CCUACGGGCGGCAGCAGUGGGGAAUAUUGCACAAUGGGGGAAACGCUGAUGCAGCGACGCCGCGUGAGCGAUGAAGUCUUUACGUAUUUAAAGCUCUAUCAGCAGGGAAGAAAAUGACGGUACCUGACUCAGAAGCCCCGUCUAACUACGUGCCAGCAGCCGCGGUAAUAAGUAGGGGGCAAGCGUUAUCCGGAUUUACUGGGGGUAAAGGGAGCGUAGACGGUCUUGCAAGCCAGAUGUGAAAGUCCGGGGUCCAACCCCGGGACUGCAGUUGGAACUGUAAGGCUAGAGUGUCGGAGAGGUAGGCGGAAUGCCUAGUGUAGCGGUGAAAUGCGUAGAUAUUAGGAGGAACACCAGUGGCGAAGGCGGCCUGCUGGACGAUGACUGACGUUGAGGCUCGAAAGCGUGGGGAGCAAACAGGAUUAGAUACCCUUGUAGUC
RNAcentral lists this ribosomal RNA (440 nucleotides) under uncultured bacterium. RNAcentral describes it as "partial 16S ribosomal RNA". It matches the Rfam family "Bacterial small subunit ribosomal RNA", at positions 338 to 795 of the family's 1533-position model. The record is from RNAcentral.